GACGAACGCUGGCGGCGUGCUUAACACAUGCAAGUCGAACGGAAAGGCCCUGCGUUUGUGGGGCGCUCGAGUGGCGAACGGGUGAGUAACACGUGAGUAACCUGCCCUUGUCUUUGUGAUAACUUCAGGAAACAGGGGCUAAUACCGGAUAGGAGCUCCUGCUGCAUGGUGGGGGUUGGAAAGUUUCGGCGGUUGGGGAUGGACUCGCAGCUUAUCAGCUUGUUGGUGGGGUAGUGGCUUACCAAGGCUUUGACGGGUAGCCGGCCUGAGAGGGUGACCGGCCACAUUGGGACUGAGAGACGGCCCAGACUCCUACGGGAGGCAGCAGUGGGGAAUAUUGCACAAUGGGCGGAAGCCUGAUGCAGCAACGCCGCGUGCGGAAUGACGGCCUUCGGGUUGUAAACCGCUUUCGCCUGUGACGAAGCGUGCGUGACGGUAAUGGGUAAAGAAGCAACGGCUAACUACGUG
Molecule: ribosomal RNA, 468 nt
Filed under: uncultured bacterium
Lineage: Bacteria
Description: partial 16S ribosomal RNA
Rfam family: Bacterial small subunit ribosomal RNA
Source: RNAcentral